Molecule: ribosomal RNA, 519 nt
Filed under: uncultured Acidobacteriota bacterium
Lineage: Bacteria; Pseudomonadati; Acidobacteriota
Description: bacterial SSU rRNA
Rfam family: Bacterial small subunit ribosomal RNA
Source: RNAcentral
UCGGGAAUUUUGGGCAAUGGGCGAAAGCCUGACCCAGCAACGCCGCGUGAAGGAUGAAAUCCCUCGGGAUGUAAACUUCGCAAGAACGGGAAGAAUAAGCCGGUGUUAACACCAUCGGUGAUGACGGUACUGUUUGUAAGCUCCGGCUAACUCCGUGCCAGCAGCCGCGGUAAUACGGGGGGAGCAAGCGUUGUUCGGAUUUACUGGGCGUAAAGGGCGCGUAGGCGGCCUCUGCAAGUCGACUGUGAAAUCUCCGGGCUUAACCCGGAACGGUCAGCCGAUACUGCAGGGCUAGAGUGCAGAAGGGGCAACUGGAAUUCUCGGUGUAGCGGUGAAAUGCGUAGAUAUCGAGAGGAACACCUGCGGCGAAAGGCGGGUUGCUGGGCUGACACUGACGCUGAGGCGCGAAAGCUAGGGGAGCGAACGGGAUUAGAUACCCCGGUAGUCCUAGCCUUAAACGAUGAAUGCUUGGUGUCUGGGGUUUUAUAGUCCCCGGGUGCCGUCGCUAACGCUUUAAGC